Molecule: ribosomal RNA, 92 nt
Filed under: Escherichia coli
Lineage: Bacteria; Pseudomonadati; Pseudomonadota; Gammaproteobacteria; Enterobacterales; Enterobacteriaceae
Also listed under: 1 other name
Description: partial 16S ribosomal RNA
Rfam family: Bacterial small subunit ribosomal RNA
Source: RNAcentral
AAAUUGAAGGGUUUGAUCAUGGCUCAGAUUGAACGCUGGCGGCAGGCCUAACACAUGCAAGUCGAACGGUAACAGGAAGCAGCUUGCUGCUU